This 960-nucleotide ribosomal RNA is filed under the name uncultured bacterium. Its description in RNAcentral is "bacterial SSU rRNA". It matches the Rfam family "Bacterial small subunit ribosomal RNA", at positions 541 to 1503 of the family's 1533-position model. The record is from RNAcentral.
CGUGUCGAUUAUUGGGCGUAAGGGAGCGCAGGCGGUCAGUUUAGUCUAAUGUGAAAGCCCACGGCUUAACCGUGGAACGGCAUUGGAAACUGACAGACUUGAAUGUAGAAGAGGAAAAUGGAAUUCCAAGUGUAGCGGUGGAAUGCGUAGAUAUUUGGAGGAACACCAGUGGCGAAGGCGAUUUUCUGGUCUAACAUUGACGCUGAGGCUCGAAAGCGUGGGGAGCGAACAGGAUUAGAUACCCUGGUAGUCCACGCCGUAAACGAUGAGUGCUAAGUGUUGGGGGCUUUCCGGCCCUCGGUGCUGGAGCUAACGUAUUAAGCACUCCGCCUGGGGAUUACGACCGCAAGGUUGAAACUCAAAAGAAUUGACGGGGACCCGCACAAGCGGUGGAGCAUGUGGUUUAAUUCGAAGCAACGCGAAGAACCUUACCAGCUCUUGACAUCUUCUGACAACUCUAGAGAUAGAGCGUUCCCUUCGGGGACAGAAUGACAGGUGGUGCAUGGUUGUCGUCAGCUCGUGUCGUGAGAUGUUGGGUUAAGUCCCGUAACGAGCGCAACCCUUGUUGUUAGUUGCCAGCAUUAAGUUGGGCACUUUAACGAGACUGCCGGUGAUAAACCGGAGGAAGGCGGGGAUGACGUCAAAUCAUCAUGCCCCUUAUGAGCUGGGCUACACACGUGCUACAAUGGAUGGUACAACGAGCAGCGAUCCCGCAAGGGCUAGCUAAUCUUUCAAAGCCAUUCUCAGUUCGGAUUGCACUCUGCAACUCGAGUGCAUGAAGUCGGAAUCGCUAGUAAUCGCGAAUCAGAAUGUCGCGGUGAAUCCGUUCCCGGGUCUUGUACACACCGCCCGUCACACCACGAGAGUUUGAAACACCCGAAGUCGGCCGGCCAACCCUAUGGGAGGCAGCCGUCGAAGGUGGGUUGAAUGAUUGGGGUGAAGUCGUAACAAGGUACCCGU